Clupea harengus (Atlantic herring) is the source of this 694-nucleotide long non-coding RNA. The record is from Ensembl. Lineage: Eukaryota; Metazoa; Chordata; Actinopteri; Clupeiformes; Clupeidae.
GUGGAGAGGGAGGUGACUGAUGGCAUAGGAGGAGAGAGGGAGGUGACUGAUGGAGGAGGUGGAGAGGGAGGUGACUGAUGGAGGAGGUGGAGAGGGAGGUGACUGAUGGCAUAGGAGGAGAGAGGGAGGUGACAGAGGGAUGCUUUGAUUUAUUUUGAUUUAUAGAUGUUUAUUAUUUAUUUUUCUAUUUAAUUUUAAUAUUGCAGUGUGCUAAAAGGGAGCGGGCAAGACAAUGCUGUUCAAUAUUAGAUGUUCAUGACUUUUUGAUAUUUUGAGUAAGUUAAACUCAAUGUAAUUGAGGUAAUCAAUUGCCUCAAAAAUUUUAAGUUUCGAGUCACAUCUUAUUAAGUAAACAACUUCAACAUAUUUGACUACUGUGUACUUAAAACAAUGACAACACAAACUAAUAAACUUUGAGUUGUGUUAACAUAAAAUGGUGUGGUUGUGUACUUAUUCUUUUAAGUUCUGUGAACUUAUUCCAGUGGUUUCAAAACUGGAAAUUUUAAGUCUUAAUAACUGAAAAUAAUUGAGUUGCCUUAACAGAAAACUGUAAGUCAUAUUGACUGCAAAUAUUUGAGUUGAGCUAAAUGAGCACUUUAAUUUAACUGUUAUCAAAAGGUACAAGUAGCAAGUAAUCCAACCUUUUAAGUUCUGGAAAAUUUUGACUUUUAAGUUAAUCAACUUAAAAAAAUUG